GACGAACGCUGGCGGCGUGCUUAACACAUGCAAGUCGAACGGAAAGGCCCUGCUUUUGUGGGGUGCUCGAGUGGCGAACGGGUGAGUAACACGUGAGUAACCUGCCCUUGACUUUGGGAUAACUUCAGGAAACUGGGGCUAAUACCGGAUAGGAGCUCCUGCUGCAUGGUGGGGGGUGGAAAGUUUCGGCGGUUGGGGAUGGACUCGCGGCUUAUCAGCUUGUUGGUGGGGUAGUGGCUUACCAAGGCUUUGACGGGUAGCCGGCCUGAGAGGGUGACCGGCCACAUUGGGACUGAGCUACGGCCCAGACUCCUACGGGAGGCAGCAGUGGGGAAUAUUGCACAAUGGGCGGAAGCCUGAUGCAGCAACGCCGCGUGCGGGAUGACGGCCUUCGGGUUGUAAACCGCUUUCGCCUGUGACGAAGCGUGAGUGACGGUAAUGGGUAAAGAAGCACCGGCUAACUACGUG
Molecule: ribosomal RNA, 468 nt
Filed under: uncultured bacterium
Lineage: Bacteria
Description: partial 16S ribosomal RNA
Rfam family: Bacterial small subunit ribosomal RNA
Source: RNAcentral